Molecule: transfer RNA, 82 nt
Organism: Pelodiscus sinensis (Chinese soft-shelled turtle)
Lineage: Eukaryota; Metazoa; Chordata; Testudines; Trionychidae
Rfam family: tRNA
About the family: Transfer RNA (tRNA) molecules are approximately 80 nucleotides in length. Their secondary structure includes four short double-helical elements and three loops (D, anti-codon, and T loops).
Source: Rfam
GCUGUCAUGGCUGAGUGGUUAAGGUGUUGGACUUAAGAUCUAAUAGGGUUUCCCUGCGCAGGUUCAAAACUCGAUCACAGCG